This 476-nucleotide unclassified non-coding RNA is filed under the name Fitchia speciosa. RNAcentral's name for it is "partial external transcribed spacer". Lineage: Eukaryota; Viridiplantae; Streptophyta; Magnoliopsida; Asterales; Asteraceae. The record is from RNAcentral.
UCCACCUGGCUUACCUCUUCAGUUGUUUGUUUAGGCUUGUAUUGUCUAAGCUAGACUACGGGUUUCCUGUGUUGCCUACCUAAGUUAUGGUAUUGUCCCGGUCGAUGAUAGUCGCUUUCGUCUUGUGUCAUACUCAUGGCAUUAGAUGAACCAUGAAGCAGUCUUUUUUGAUCCACACUGUUAAUGCUUGCAUUGAUGUUGUGGCCCAUUGAGCAUUGCUUGGUAUCUUGGAUAUGGAACAUCAUGUGGGCAUGGGUUCUCUCAAGAGAUCCUUGUUUUGCCUUCGGUUAGCGUUCGCACGUCUCUUAAUACGACUUUCCCAGCCCGCAUUGGCUCGUACCAGCGGGUGGGUUAUGUCAAAGAGUUGUGCAUAUCUUCGAAUGACCGCCCAGCCCGCAUUGGCUCGUACCAGCGGGUGGGUUAUGUCAAAGAGGAAUGCUACCUGGUUGAUCCUGCCAGUAGUCAUAUGCUUGUCU